CGGGGUGACCGCAUGGCGCGGAAGCGGCCUGUAAAGCCGUGGUCUUUUGACACCGGUGGUUCGACUCCACCCACCCUGACC
Molecule: transfer RNA, 81 nt
Filed under: Nocardia farcinica
Lineage: Bacteria; Bacillati; Actinomycetota; Actinomycetes; Mycobacteriales; Nocardiaceae
Description: tRNA-Tyr(gta)
Source: RNAcentral